GACGAACGCUGGCGGCGUGCUUAACACAUGCAAGUCGAACGGAAAGGCCCUGCUUUUGUGGGGUGCUCGAGUGGCGAACGGGUGAGUAACACGUGAGUAACCUGCCCUUGACUUUGGGAUAACUUUAGGAAACUGGGGCUAAUACCGGAUAGGAGCUCCUGCUGCAUGGUGGGGGGUGGAAAGUUUCGGCGGUUGGGGAUGGACUCGCGGCUUAUCAGCUUGUUGGUGGGGUAGUGGCUUACCAAGGCUUUGACGGGUAGCCGGCCUGAGAGGGUGACCGGCCCCAUGGGGACUGAGAUACGGCCCAGACUCCUACCGGAGGCAGCAGUGGGGAAUAUUGCACAAUGGGCGGAAGCCUGAUGCAGCAACGCCGCGUGCGGGAUGACGGCCUUCGGGUUGUAAACCGCUUUCUCCUGUGACGAAGCGUGAGUGACGGUAAUGGGUAAGGAAGCACCGGCUAACUACGUG
Molecule: ribosomal RNA, 468 nt
Filed under: uncultured bacterium
Lineage: Bacteria
Description: partial 16S ribosomal RNA
Rfam family: Bacterial small subunit ribosomal RNA
Source: RNAcentral